AACCACCUCCGGUGGUCAUUCGUAAAAAUUGGAACGCAUACAGAGAAGAUAGCAUGGCCUCUGCGCCAGGGAUGACACUCAUUAAUCGAGAAGUAUCGCACUUUUUG
Molecule: small nuclear RNA, 107 nt
Filed under: Phytophthora infestans T30-4
Lineage: Eukaryota; Oomycota; Peronosporomycetes; Peronosporales; Peronosporaceae
Source: RNAcentral